UUUUUUUAUAUAGCUCCAAAAGCUAAUACUGGUGCUAGCAUUCUAUACGCUAUAACCGCCAGAAUAAAUAAACAAAGCCUCGCGAAGAGAAACAUCCUACUAGCAGGCAAAAAAAGUCAACUGAAAAUAGAAAAGUAGCGGUGAGCGAAAUUCUAAAAAGCUAAAGCGCUGGGUGCAAAAUUUUAAAAUGAAUUUAUAACUCAACCUAAGAAGGUAUUAGUCCUGUUUUUAAUAAACCAUAGCCAACGCAUUAAAGUAACCCGCAAAAUGUAAUUAUGCGGCUGAAGAUAGCAGAGUCAACUGCUAAAGCUAAAGAUACUUUUGUUGAUAGUGUAUAGUAUUGUGAAAGAACGGUGAAAAUUUAUCAAUUUUAGAAGUGAAAUAUCAAUGAAACUUAGCGUAAAAAUCUAUUAAAGCUUUAAUAGCUAUAAUGUACCUUUUGCAUAAUGGACUAGUGACUAAAUAAAUUAAGCAAGCUUUAUACAAGCGCUUUUAAUAAAAAGUAACUACUUAAAGUUUAAUUUAUUUUACCCGAAGCUAAUCGAUCUAAUUAUGGAUAGGCUGAUAAGAAAUUUAAGGGCCGAACCCGUGAAUGUUGCAAUAUUCUGGGAUAAUCUGUAGUUAGGGGUGAAAGGCCAACCAAGAUUAGUGAUAGCUGGUUCUCCGCGAAAUUUAUUUAAGUAAAGCAGUUAAAGAUACUUUGUUAAGGUAAAGUAAAUUAUAUUAUAUAUGGCUAAUAAGCUACAUAACUAAUUAAAUAACUUAUAAUGUAACAAAAUUAAAUUUAACUAGUGAGACUUAUUGCGCUAAGGUAAUAAGUCGAGAGGGAAACAGCCCAGAUUGAAUAAUAAGGUGCCAAAUAACAUUCAAUUAUUAAAGUCUAUUAAUCUAGCCACCUAAAAGAUAAGCUUGGAAGCAGCUACUCAUUAAAGAAAGAGUAAAAUCUCAUUAGUUAGGUAAAGUUUAAAGCAUAAAUAAACUAUCAGAUUAACGGUCUAAUAAUGUAUAGGCUAUAAAAUGUUAACCGAAUUAGCAAAAAGUAAACAUACUUUGGUAGCGGAGUUACCUGUAAACUUAUUAAGGUUAAUUGAAAAAUUAACUGGUUAGUACCAGGUUAAAUAAUACUAGUAACAGUAACGUAAAACUAUUUAUAGUAGUCGCCAUAAAUCCUAGAAUUUCAUUUUAAAGUAAGUCUUAAAUGAUAGAUACGGUCUCUAAAAAACAAGGUAAACCUGUAAGUUCAAUGAGAAUCUUUGCUUAGUAUGACGUUAAAUAACUUAAACUUAAACGAUAUUUACAGCGUAGUUUAAAUAACCUAACUAAAAAACACUCAAGCAAGCUUUUCCUUAGCUGAAAAGCAAAAAGAAAGUUAAACCGGUAGGUUUGUACUUUCUCAAAACCGUAUUAAAACUGACACUAGUGGAUGAGUAGAAUAUACUAAGGCGAUAGAAGAAUAUAACUGAAGGAACUCGGCAAAUUGUCUCUGUAACUUCGGGAUAAAGAGAGCUAUAUAGCGUCAUAAAAUAGAGAGCGGCGACUGUUUAUCAAAAACUCAGGACUUUGCUAAAUUUAAUAAUGAUGUAUAAAGUCUGACACCUGCCCAGUGCUUGAUAGUUAAAAUUAGUUAGUGUUAGCUAACUAAAUAAGCUAGAGUAAACGGCGGCUGUAACUCUGACGGUCCGAAGGUAGCGAAAUUCAUUGGCGGGUAAGUUCCGUCCUGCAUGAAUGGUGUAACGACUGCUCUACUGUCUCCAGUUAUAAUCUAGUGAACCCGAAUACUAGGUGAAAAUGCCUCGAUAGAACAGCGGGACGGAAAGACCCCGUGCACCUUUACUAGAACCUUGUAUUACUAUAAGAAUUUUUGUAAAUUACAGUAGAAUUAAAUUCAUUUUAACUGUGAAUAUUAAAAUCUUUAGUUUAAAAUUUAAUAAAUGAAAUCAAAUUUUAAAUUGCAAGGAUGCUAGUUUCACUGGGGCGGUGGCCUCCUAAAAAGUAACGGGGGUGUGCAAUGGUUUUGUGAAGCACGCGUGCUGUGCGAGCAUUAUAAUGAAUCAAACUUAACCUAAUUAAUUAAUUGACAAGUUAAUUAAAAGUAAAAAUUAAAAACUUUUUACUUGCCAUAGUGACCCGAUAGAUUUUUCUUGACAAAUCUAUCGAUUAACGAAUAAAAGGUACGCCGGGGAUAA
Molecule: ribosomal RNA, 2186 nt
Filed under: metagenome
Description: bacterial LSU rRNA
Rfam family: Bacterial large subunit ribosomal RNA
Source: RNAcentral